UUACAGGCUUAGGUUUUGGUUUGCAUACAUAGUAGAUGAAGCAGUUUUUUCAUACUUUAAACAAACAAGUAAUAAUUCCGACCAAAAUGAAGGUAGUGAUUUAAGUGCUGAACAGAGAAAAUUCAGUAAAAUUCUGCUCUCAGAGGCCUCAUGGACUAGUUGUGUCGAUAGGCAAUUUCAACAUGAGAUCAUUGGAGAGGAAUAUAUCAUGUUCACUGGAAGAAGGCAAAAGAAUGUAACGACUGGAGGAAGCUUAGCAGGCAUUCAACGUUGUAUAAACUGAUUCUCUAAGCUUUUUGGAGGAGGGUUUCUGAAUGCACGGCAUUGCUUCAACAAAGGUCAACACAUGAGGACCACAUCGGUGGUAUACCUUGUCCUCCAGAUUCCAAUUGGGUUUUGCAAAUGGCGGAAAGGAGAAGAAUGAGAAUCACAACUGGCGGUGCCUACAAGGUACAUCCCAGCUUGCUGGAAAAUUUUUUUUUCACAAGACCAGAUGAGGAACUGGGACCCAGGGUGAUGAGGAGACUUUCCCAGUCAGCAUUACAAAUCCAAGACAAGAAGGCUGGUCUCCUGUCUUCUCAUCUGGUGAGCUGUCCCAUCACUCCGCUGCCUUCAGGGCUAGCCCCUCUCUCAAGCCACUCUCCUCUCCAUUCUUUCCCAAAGCCAUAGAGGGAGAUCUAUCUUCUGCGUGUGGAGGGAAGAGAGUGUGAGGGGAAGUGUUCCUCGUGGGAGCUAUGGUGGCUGUGGGAAAGUGAACAAGGCUCUAAAGGAGAAGCUGUUUCCUUGCUGUUUUCAGCUUUGAGAGGCUGCCUGCAUUCUUCCGCCGUGACUCCUCCUUCCAUCUUGAAACCCAGCAGCAUAGCAUCUACAAAUCUCUCUCACCUCUGAUUCCAAGGGAUAAGGAUAUCACCUACCUUGUUGGGUUGCUGAGAUAACUGGAUGAGUUAACGUACAACAGUGCCUGGAAUGUAGUGAGCACGGAAUAACAGAGGAGAUUUUUACCCUCCUAUUGCAAGAAGUUUAAUCUUCAUACAAGGUGAUGGGUUGAUACAUAAAUUGAGAGUGAAGUCAAGAUCUCCUCACUUCCUGAGAGGUAUUAAGUUUCUGGCUAGACUUUGACUGGAGCUGUGUCUACCACAGACCACGCCUCCAAAUGUUGCUGCUGACCAAGUCCCCAAAUGAAAAGGAAACCUCAAGGCAAGAACCAUUCAUAUAACAAUUCAUUCAGCCAUUAUCUGGUGAGCAUCCAUCAUGUGCCAGGUGAUAUAGUAAACACCAGAACUACAGGGAAGACCAGGUGCAGUCCCCACCUGCAAAGAUCUGAAGAUCAAGUGGAGAAGACGAGAAGUAAGUAAGUAACCGAUAACAUUGCAGAUCAAUAGAUGCCCUGGCAGGAAUAGUCACAGUGGCAGAAAGGAGGGGAAACUGAUAUGAUCUAGGGAGGCCUGGAAAGGCCUUCUGGAGAAAGCAACAUCUAAGCACAAACCCUAUGAUUUCAGGUAAGAAUUGUGAAGCAAAGCCCUUUGUUAUGGACUGCAUGUUUGUGUCCCCUCCAAACUUCAUAAAAUGAACUCAUGGAAUCCUUAUCCUCAAUGUGGUAGUGUUAGGAGGUGGGUCCUUUGGGAGGUAAUUAGGUCAUAAGGGUGUAGCCCACAAGAACAGGAUCAGUGCCCUUAUAAGAAGAGAUAUGAGACCUUGUUUCAUUGCUGUCUCUUUCUCAGUGCUGUGAGGGCACAGCAAGAAAACAGCCCUCUGUAAACCAGAAAGAGAGCUUGCAAAGAACCCAACCACGCUGCACCCUGGUCAUGAGACUUCCAGCCUUCAUAACUGAGAGAGAAAUAGUCAUUGUUCAAGCCCCUCAGUCUAUGGUAUUCUGUUAUCACAGCCCAAACUCAGACACUAUUCCACAUACAGGUAUGAGCAGGUGUAAAGACACAGAGGUGAGAAAAGGGAAAAGGAAAAGAUAAGCCACAGGCUGAGGGAGAAUAUUUGCAAAACAUCCACUUUAUAAAUGAUUUGUAAAUAAGGGACAUUAGGUAAAGAGUAAGAAAACUUGGAUGAUGUAUGAACUUUAGUUAAAUCAUGUGUCAAUAUUGGUUCAUUGAUUGUAACAAACGUACCUUACCAAUGUACGACGUUAACAUAGAGGAAAUGGUAUCAGAUAUAUAUGGGAACUCUCUGUAGCCAUAUUAGCAAUUUCUGCACAUCUAUAACUAUUCUAGGGGCCCACCCCGUGGCUGAGUGGUUAAGUUCAUGUGCUCCGCUUCUGCGGCCCAGGGUUUCACUGGUUCGGAUCCUGGGUGUGGACAUGGCACUGCUCAUCAGGCCAUGCUGAGGCGGCGUCCCACGUAGCACAACCAGAAGGACUUACAACUAAAAUAUACAACUAUGUGCUGGGGGGCUUUGGGGAGAAGAAGAAGAAGAAAAAAAAAAGAAGAUUAGCAACAGAUGUUAGCUCAGCUGCCAAUCUUUAAAACUGUUCUAAAAAAUGAAGUUAUUUUUAAAAAAACAAAUGAAUAUAUAUACAUAUAUAUAUUUGUGUGUAUAUAUAUAUAUAUGUAUAACAAAUGAAUAUAUAUACAUAUAUAUAUUUGUGUAUAUAUAUAUGUGUAUAUAUAUAUAAAAUUUUAUCUCGAUUUCACACAUACACAAAAAAAUAAACUUUAGGUGGAUUAAAGACCCAAAUGUGAAAAGUAUACUUUUAAAACUUUUGUAAGAAAGUAUAGGAUAAUUCCUAUAUGAAGUUGGAAGACAAAAGGAUUUUCUGAACAAGACGUAAAAAGUACAAAUCAUGAAAGAAAAUACUGAUAAACUUGACUACAUCAAAAUUUAAAAUAUUUGAAUGAGAAAUCACCAUAAACAAAUGUUAACAAAAGCCAAACACUGAGAAACAAUAUUUGAAACUUAUAAAAUGAUAGUAAUCCUUUGAUUAGUAUUCAAAAUAUUUAAAGAGUGCCCUUAAACCCAUUAGAGAAGAACAAACAUGUUCACUUUUUCAAUAAAUUAGGUUAAAUUAUUUGCUUAAUGAAUAAGAGAUUAUGAAGUCCCUAACAUUAUUCUCCUUAGGAAAGUCAUAAUUAAAUUCAGUCUUUUGUUUUAACUAAAAGAAUUCUGUUAUGAUCCUCAUUCUAUAAGGAACUCUGUUUUUCUUUUAAAUAGUUAUAUAAAUUUUUUUAAAAAAGAACAAACAAAUCAACAGAAAACAGCAAAGAAUAUUGCAGUGGUUAAUUUUAUGUCUUAUCUUAGCUAGAUUCUAGUUCCCAGUUGUUUGGUUAAACACCAGUCUCAAUGUUGCCGUGAAGGUAUUUUUUAGAUGUGAUUAGGGUUUAAAUCAGUAGACUUUGAGUGCAGAUUACCCUCCAUUACAUGAGUGGGCCUUGUCCAAUCAACUGAAGGUUUAAGAGCAAAGGCUGAGUUUUCUGAGGAAGAAGGAAUUCUGCCUCCAGAUUGCAACGUAGAAAUUCUGCCUGAGUUUCUAGCCUUUGAACUCAAGAUUGCAGUCUCAAGCUAUCUGAGUCUUCAGCCUGCCAGCUUCCCCUAUGGGUUUCAGAUUAGCCAAUUCCCACACACGAACCAAUUCCUUAAAAUCUCUCUCCUUCUCUCCCUCUCUCUCUCUCUCUCUGUAUAUAUAUGAAUAUACUAUAUUUCUACCAAGACAGCAAACAAUUUGGUCAAGCUGGAAAUGUACAUGUUUAUAAUCAUACAUCCCACAUUUAGGGAUAUAAUCUAGAGAAAUUCUCAUUAUCUACCAAAGGAGAUACAGGGAAAAUUGUUCACUGUAGCAUCAUUUGUACUAGCAAAAAAGAAAAGAAAAACAACUUAAAAUUCCAUCAAAAGAGAAACAUAUACAUUGAGGCUUUUUAAAUUAAAUACAGUUGCUAUUACAAUGGGAACAUGAGAACUACACAUAUUGGCAGAAAUGUAAAGAUAAAAGAAAAAUACAAGUGGUAUGGUGUAAAAUGGUGUGUACGGUUUGAUAUUGUAUGUGCAUAUUUUAAUACAUAGACUAUCAAAUGCUGUUUAUGAAUACAUGCAUGAACAAUAAAUAUUUUUGAAAACAUAAAUUGGAAGAAGGAGCAGCAACUGCAUGGCUUCUCAUCUCUGAUUAAGGAGGGAGGAAGGGGAAAGGAAAUGAAGAGAGAUACUAAAGGGGAUUUUGACUGAAUUUAUAUUGUUUAUCAAAGUCUGAAGCAUGUGCAAAAAUGUUAAGAUUUGUUAAUAACAAGAUGAGAAGUGCAUGGAUGUUUGUUGCAUUACACCAUAAUUUUCUAUACGUUUGAAGUUUUUAUAGUCAAAAAAUGAGUAAUUUUACUAAUCCAAGUGAGAGAGGAAGGAGGCGUAAGGGUAACGCAGUGUUAAUCAAGAAAAGUGGACAAGCAUGGCCAGCCAAUCAGUUACCUUAACACAAGUAAGACAGAGGGAGCAGUGAAAGCAUGUGAAGGGUGUGUCCUGCAUUUCUGGCUUCUGUGAUUGUGUAGGGGUAGGUAUCAGUCAUGGAGAGAGGAUUGGAGGAGGUGGAAUGAAUUUGGAUGGAGAGAGAAUCUUCUAUUGUACUGGUCAUAAUGCGAGGCACAUCAUGAACAGUAAAUGUUUUCUCGACUGAUUUGAAAGGAAAUACUUGGGGAGUUAGCACAAAGACAUUCUAUUUCAAAGACUGCAUUCUCUUUCUUUCUAGGUAUUUUGGGAAAUUGGGUCUAUGUGCUCAUCAAAGGCCAAGUCAACUAGGUAAAUGAGGAUGGAGAAACAUUCUCACAUAAUCUAAUUACAGAUAUUAGACAAAGGAUUCCAAGUGAAUCUUACUCUGAACUUUAAAAACACCCUGGAGAAAACAGCUAUUACAUUUCAAGUGGCAGAAUAUGGCUCCCCUUUAAAAAAAUCAAUACAUUCUCUGGAGGAGAGCAGUAAAUGAUUUCCUUUUUAGAAUUUCAUCAGUAGCUUUCCCGCUAUACAGGCAAAGUCUAUAAAAAUGAUGCCAAAGAUGAUCCGGUUGAAAAGAAAGUCAACAAUAACACAGAUUGACAGUCUUUCUCAUACUGGAAAUGUUUGCAACAUUUGCCAUUUAUUGUUAGAAGUCCCUUCAAAUAUAACCCAGUGCCCAUGGAGUUUUGACGACCAAAUUGGCUUCUCCUUGAUCUCACCUUGUUUCUCCUUGACUACUGCCAAGUGUCAAGCAGAAAUAAUUAAUACAACAUUUAUCCCAAUAGGUUGUAAUUAUUUGUUUUCAUGCCCUUUUGUGUGAAUCAUUAGACUACUUGGGAAUAAGAGGCAAAGUUGGAUUAAGGAAUAGGUCAACAAGGUAGCUACUUGGGAUCCAUAAUCUACAAGGAAUUGUAAAACAAAGCUGGAGCAAACCAGAAAAAUGGCACCCACUGGAUUAUAUUUGUUCUCCCAGUUCUUACAUAACAAGCAAAACAGAAACUGGCCCAACUACAUUAGAGGGAGAUGACAUACUUGAGUGUAAACCACUCCUCGCCAGCAUCAGUCUGUCUCUGUUGAACACGUUCAUUGCAGGCAUGUGUAAAUUUCAGCGUUCAGAUCUGGCCUCGCCACUAACCCAGUGACCAGCCAAGUGAGCACUGGUUGGCAUCAGCAAAAUCAUCUGCAUUCCCCAAACCAAAGAAUACACAGUUUGGUUCUAUUGACUGAGACUUGUGUCUUUGUUAGAGUAUCUAUAAUGUAAGCUCUUUAAUAUGAUCACCAAGAAGUUGUCCAGCUCACAAAAUUAUAAUUCUAAAACCAUUUCACAAAAGUAAAAAUAUUUCACCUCUGGAACAUUUAAAAAGUCUUUUAUUUUGAGCAUUAAAUGCUAUAAGAAUUUUAUCUAUAGAAAGUACAUUUCUCCCUGCCCUACCGGGUAAAUAAUAAAAUAUAAAAAAUAUUUUUUGAAGAGGCUUCAAGUUAUUGCCUGCAUGAGUCCUUUCCACUUCUCAGUCUAGCCAUAGGCGAGACCAUGUGCAUAGUCCCAAACUUUACUCUUAACAGUGAACACAGUGUCUGGGAUCCAGUAGGUAUCCAAUAGAUGAUUGAUGAAUUAAUUAAACAAUCAAUACUCAGUGUCUGCUCACCCUUCAGUGUUAGAAUAUUCACUAGUUCCUGUGAUUUUAUUGUAGCACAACUCCAAAUGUUAGAAAAGAAUCUUGCAAACAUUAAAUACCUAUGGGUCUUCUUGAAUCUCCCAAUCAUGGACAUAUUCUUGGGAUCUAAAUUUUUAUGGACAGAUAUCAUUAUAGAUAAAGUAUGGAACUCAAUCAUGAGUCCUAACUCCUUGGGAACACAGAGACCCUACCUGAUAACAUUUGAAUUGUGAGCCAUUGACCUUUCUUAUUGCCUGGACCUUGACCUUUGCACACACAUUUUUGGUGGCAAGGGAGAGGAGAUUUGGCAGGUGUUUUCAAGAUGUUCUAUUUGAUAAAGAUGAAGAAUUUCUUAAAAAGUAGCGGAAGGAGAACACGCAAUCAGAACGUCUCUUACUCCAAAUACGGUAGGGAAGAUAAAGAACAUUAGCAGUGAUGGGGUACCUAUUGCAUACCAGCUCCUUUACCCUGUCAUCCCACUAAUUCUGACAACCACUCCUGAGCCAUGUAGUACUGACCUCAUUUUAAAGGUGAGCCAUUAGGACUCAGAGAAAUUGAGAAAUUUAUUAAAGUCAUACAAAGAGAGGAUAGGGUACCCGCCUAUCUGUAUCCGGGUCUACCUGGAACCUUGCCUACCUAGGAUGUUGGCUGGAAUCAACAUAAUUGGGAUCAGUGUAUAUUCUUCAACCUGACAUCCAAUUCACCCACCCACACCUACACCUUGAGAAGGAAAGGAAGAGGUACUUUUAAAAUUAUUUCCAUAACAAGAUCCAAAACCCAGAGGAGUUAGAGGGAAGACCAUAGACAGAUUUCAUGGAGAUUGUCAGAUACCAUGAAUCUCGCCAGGUUCUAAAGGCUAGUAGUGGCUUUCAAUCCCAACAUGUCUAUCAGAUAAGACACACAGUGCCAACAAUCUGUUAUUUAAAGGGGCUCACUGCAGUGGUGAUUCUCAGGAAAAGGGGUUCCCAGGGAUUGGCUUAGUUUUUAAAAAAUCUUUGAUGACUUAGAUAUGCCUCCCUAGAAAGUAUGCCUCUUGAGAGCCUUUGAGAAUCAUUGGAAGGGAAAUAAGAUUGUUUUAUUAUUUUGCUUUGUUUUUUGUUGAUGUUGUUAUUUUUUCCCUAAGAAGCAAGAAAGAUGAGCCAGGUUAAAUCAUAUCCCAGAAACUAUGUGAAUGAUCUACUUUUAAACUCAAUGCCACUCACUGAAUUUCCUAUACACAAUGCUAUAUCCAAUACUACAAUAUCCUAUGCUAUUCAAAGUGAGUGCCAUUGACUAGAAACAUCAGCACUAGCUGGGACCUUCUUAGAAAUACAGAAUCUCAGGCCCCACUCCAUCCUAUUGGUUCAGAACUUGCAUUUUAACAGAUCCAUGGAUGAUUCUUGUACAUUUCAGUUUUGAGAAGCACUAGUACACACUACACCUAAACAUCUUCCCUUUUUUCCCCAUUAGUCUGAGCUAAGCAUCCCUCAUAUGUGUCCCCACAGCAACUCACAAGUCCUUUAUCCUACACUUAUGACACUGUGUUGAAAUUGCUUGCUUGAAGGUCUCCCUUUCUUGCCCAGAUGGAAGCUCUUCAAGACAAGACUGGUGCCUUCCAAGUUCACCACUGGUUGCUGGCACCUAACAGUGCCUGGCACAGAGGAAGUUUUAAAUAAAUAUUUAGGAAUCUCACAGGAUUGUGAGCUUCUCAAGGUCAAGAACCACAUAUUGGUAUUUGUGCAUCUUUAAAACCUAGCAAAGUUCUGGCAUAUAGUAAAUGAUCAAUUUGUGUUGAUCUUCUAAAUAGGUGCCUGAUUCAUACCAGAAAAUGGAAUGGACUGAAAACAUGGCUAUUGUGCCAAAUGUCACUUUUAUCAAGCCUUCUCUGAUGUCCUCCAGUCCUAAAUGAGCACUGAUUCCCCUGUGUCUUUACACCAUACAACAAUAAAUUGCUGUCUACAACAGCAAUAAAGUAAACUGUUGAAUAGUUCUUUUCAGUUUGUAAAGUAACCUUAUCCUCAACAUGUCAUUAAUUCUUAGAUUGACAGCACGAAAUAGUAUCUUGACAGCUAACCUGUGAAGUUCAGCUAAGCCCUUGAUAGUUAGAGUCAGAUUCAAAGACAGUCUGUGAUUUUCCCAAUGUCACAAAGCUGGUAGGUGACAGGGUCAGAACGUGUGCGUAGAUCUUCUGGCCUGGUGUACUUCCCACCCUACCCCCCUUGAUUUUGGCAUCUGACUUUUCAGGAAAGUCACUAAACAUGUGCUGGCACUUGGUUUUAGUUUAUAUUUCCAUUAUAACUAUGUCACUCAGCUAUAUAUGCUAAUUGUGUUUUCAAAGAAAUUUAUCUAAUUUUGUAGUAAGUGCCUUCUUCAUCUGUGCGUGCAUUUAUUCAUUCGUUUACUUACCCAACAACUUUCACUUGACUUCUUUGAACAGUGUUAGCCCAGGAGUGGUCAUUCAAUAUUUGUUUAAUUGAACUGAUUAGCUUCUUUUGAUAAAUAUUGAUGAUUUGGGUCCCUGAGAGCCACUGAUAACACAAUCACAUUGCCAGGUGAAAAUUAUAAAGUGAUCAAACAUUAAAGCCGGCAGCUGCCUUUAGAGAUUCUCUCCUGUAACCCCUACUUCUGCUGGACGAAGAGGCUAAGCAUCAGAGAGAGAGAGUGACAUGCCUGAGUUCACAUUACAAAAUGUUUUAUGUAGCUUUUCCUGUAGGGACCUGAACUAUCUGUCUGAUAUGCUUGCAUUGAUCAGAAGCCAGGUUGUUGCCACAUCCCCACUUAACUUGGGCAUAGAACCAAAUAAUUAAAAAAUACCCCAAAGCCCCCAUAUAGUAUUUACAUGCCUUCUAAAGCUUGCAGCUGACAAUGCGCUCAUACUGCUGAUCCUAAGAGAAAUUCGGAAUGACUGGGAUGGACUGCCACAUAUAAAUAUUCAUGACACAAACUCAUCAAGCCUUGAACAAGAACAUAUGUGAAUAAUUAACAAGAUUGUGAUUUGUAGUAUCAUGGUAAUAGAUAACCUAUCUCCUAAUGAGAGGCUAACUAAAGCUGUUUUUCCUUUUACAAGGCAACAAAAAUUCAAGACAGUAAAUUGUAGUGUCUGUUGUCAAUUUUGUAAUGUAGUUUUGGAAGUUGAAUGCUCAAAAAACAUUUUUUCUUCUAAAGUAGUUAAACACUCAUUAUUGCUAGAUGCAGUAUUUAACAUGGUACAUUCUAAGCUUUUAGAGAAAGUGACACAAAGGUAUAAUGAUGUAGUGUAUUCACUAAUCUCUGUUACUAAUCUUGUUCUUUUCCCUCUUUUCAACGGUAUAUUUAAGAAAAAGAAACACUGAUGAUUUCUGUUGUUUGAUUCAGUAUUGAGACAUCGGGGUGAUUUUCUUUUAGCUCUGUGAUUUCACCUAACACCUUCAUCUCAUUCUCCCAUCUGCAGGCUUGAUCCGUGUCUUCCCCAAGAGGCAGCAAGGAGAAGCAGCCAAGGGAAGCAGGAGAGGCUCAGUAUCCUCUUUUGGAUGCUGCCCCUAAGAACAAACCCCUCCCACGUUUUCUACCUUACGCAGAAGAAAAUCUGAGCAACACAGUCUCAUGUGUUUCCUGUGUAUCCCAUAGGGGUAUGGUCCAGUCUCUCUCUCUCUGGAAAAGGCUACAUUUUUCUCUUAGAUUAAAGUCGCCACUUCGGAAACCCAUUUUAUUUUUGAGGACGAUUAGCCCUGAGCUAACAUCUGCCACAAAUCCUCCUCUUUUUGCAGAGGAAGAUUGGCUCUGAGCUAACAUCUGUGCUCAUCUUUGUCUAUUUAAUAUGUGGGAUGCAUGCCACAGCAUGGCUUUGUAAGGGAUGCGUAGGUCCGCAACCGGGAUAUGAACCAGUGAACCCUGGGCUGCUGAAACAGACUGCUCGAAUUUAACCACUAUGCCACCGGACUGGCCCCUGGAAAACCUUUUGAAAUUCCCUACUUUUAAAACUACACACAUGUCUAGCCUAUGACCUUGUAUUUCCAUUCCAUAGAUAAAUGGGUAUCUUUGUCUACCAAAUGAGAAGAAUAAGAAUUUCAUAGAAGUCUUAUUCAUAAUAGCUAAAAACUAGAACCCAAACAUCUGUCUACAGUAGAAUGGAUAAAUUGCAGAAUAUUAAUAAAGGGGAAUUCCAUGCAACAAUAAAAGAGAAUAUCUGCCAUAAGCAACAGCACAGUUGGACCUCACAGACAUAGUAACGAACGAGUGAAAGAAGCUAGCCACAGAAGAGUACACACACUGUAUGAUUCAAUUAUGUGAAAUUCAGGAACAGGAGAAACUCAACUGCGGUGGCAAAAAGCAGAAUAUUGGUUACCUGAUUUGGGGGGUCAGGCAGGGCCAGUAGGUAAGAACUUAGGAAGGGGCACAAAGGAUCCCUCUGGGGUGUUGAAAAUAUUCCAUAUAUAUGUAAAAAUCCAUUGAUUUCUGCACUUAAGAUUUGUGUAUGGAUCUACACUUCAAUAAACCUUUUUUAUAAAUGAUCAUUGACUCUUUCCUCCCAACAGCUGGAAAUUGCUAGAAUUAUGUAUACGGUGGUGUUUCAGUCUACUGCUCUUUCCCUUAGCAGCCACCCACUUUGGGUUCUCCAUGUUUUUUUCAUAAGGGAGUCCCUCUUAGGAAAGCCGGUAUUUUGACCACAACAAAAUAUUUUGAAGUAAGAAUUGAAACACAAAUUUACAGAAACAUUUUAACAAAAAACCGUUUUCAUUAUACAUGCAAAUUCAGGACAGAUGUGGUCAGAGGAAUAACCCAAGUCCACCCACCACUAGAAGAAAAGUAAAACUUAAUAAGAAUUUUUGAAAUAUUGUAAUGAUUUUCUCCCUGGCUUCUAGUCAAGACUGCAACAGAAAUUCAGAAAUGCCACCAGAAAGGCCUCUCCGGGUACAUGUGACUAGAAUUCUCAGACAGUACUGAGUGGCUGGGGAAACCUCACAGAGCUUUGA
This is a long non-coding RNA of Equus caballus (horse), 11005 nucleotides long. NCBI's taxonomy places the organism in Eukaryota, Metazoa, Chordata, Mammalia, Perissodactyla, Equidae. The record is from Ensembl.